CGCUGGCGGCGUGCUUAACACAUGCAAGUCGAACGGGAUCCUGCGGGCUUUGCUUGCGGGUGAGAGUGGCGAACGGGUGAGUAAUGCGUGACCAACCUGCCCCAUGCUCCGGAAUAGCUCCUGGAAACGGGUGGUAAUGCCGGAUGCUCCCGCGCCCCGCAUGGGGUGUGGGGAAAGCUUUCGUGGCAUGGGAUGGGGUCGCGUCCUAUCAGCUUGUUGGCGGGGUGAGGGCCCACCAAGGCGUUGACGGGUAGCCGGCCUGAGAGGGCGACCGGCCACAUUGGGACUGAGAUACGGCCCAGACUCCUACGGGAGGCAGCAGUGGGGAAUAUUGCACAAUGGGCGCAAGCCUGAUGCAGCGACGCCGCGUGCGGGAUGGAGGCCUUCGGGUUGUAAACCGCUUUUGUUUGGGAGCAAGCCCUUCGGGGUGAGUGUACCUUUCGAAUAAGCMCCGGCUAACUACGUGCCAGCAGCCGCGG
This 479-nucleotide ribosomal RNA is filed under the name Bifidobacterium boum. RNAcentral's name for it is "bacterial SSU rRNA". It matches the Rfam family "Bacterial small subunit ribosomal RNA", at positions 34 to 520 of the family's 1533-position model. The record is from RNAcentral. Lineage: Bacteria; Bacillati; Actinomycetota; Actinomycetes; Bifidobacteriales; Bifidobacteriaceae.